Molecule: ribosomal RNA, 301 nt
Filed under: uncultured bacterium
Lineage: Bacteria
Description: partial 16S ribosomal RNA
Rfam family: Bacterial small subunit ribosomal RNA
Source: RNAcentral
CAGCAGCCGCGGUAAUACAGAGGGUGCGAGCGUUAAUCGGAUUUACUGGGCGUAAAGCGUGCGUAGGCGGCUAAUUGAGUCGGAUGUGAAAUCCCCGAGCUUAACUUGGGAAUUGCAUUCGACACUGGUUAGCUAGAGUGUGGGAGAGGAUGGUAGAAUUCCAGGUGUAGCGGUGAAAUGCGUAGAGAUCUGGAGGAAUACCGAUGGCGAAGGCAGCCAUCUGGCCUAACACUGACGCUGAGGUACGAAAGCAUGGGGAGCAAACAGGAUUAGAUACCCCAGUAGUCCCUGUCUCUUAUAA